This 380-nucleotide ribosomal RNA is filed under the name uncultured eukaryote. RNAcentral's name for it is "SSU rRNA". It matches the Rfam family "Eukaryotic small subunit ribosomal RNA", at positions 587 to 972 of the family's 1831-position model. The record is from RNAcentral.
AGCUCCAAUAGCGUAUAUUAAAGUUGUUGCAGUUAAAAAGCUCGUAGUUGGAUUUCUGUUCUUGGGGGGCGGUCCGCCGCAAGGUGAGCACUGCUUUCUCUGGGGACAUCCUCUCGAAGGCGGGUGGUGCACUUAAUUGUGUGGUGCCUGGAUUCGGGACCUUUACUUUGAAAAAAUUAGAGUGUUCAAAGCAGGCGUCGGCUUGAAUACAUUAGCAUGGAAUAAUGGAAUAGGACUUUGGUUCUAUUUUGUUGGUUUCUAGGACCGAAGUAAUGAUUAAUAGGGACAGUUGGGGGCAUUAGUAUUUAAUUGUCAGAGGUGAAAUUCUUGGAUUUAUGAAAGACUAACUACUGCGAAAGCAUUUGCCAAGGAUGUUUUCA